CGGCAGGCUUAACACAUGCAAGUCGAACGGAUCCUUCGGGAUCAGUGGCGGACGGGUGAGUAACGCGUGGGAACCUACCCUGGGGUGGGGAAUAACCUUGGGAAACCGAGGCUAAUACCGCAUACGCCCUAUUGGGGAAAGACUAUGUUGCCCUGGGAUGGGCCCGCGUCCGAUUAGCUAGUUGGUGGGGUAAUGGCCUACCAAGGCUGCGAUCGGUAGCUGGUCUGAGAGGAUGAUCAGCCACACUGGGACUGAGACACGGCCCAGACUCCUACGGGAGGCAGCAGUGGGGAAUAUUGGACAAUGGGCGAAAGCCUGAUCCAGCCAUGCCGCGUGAGUGAUGAAGGCCCUAGGGUUGUAAAGCUCUUUCACCGGUGAAGAUAAUGACGGUAACCGGAGAAGAAGCCCCGGCUAACUUCGUG
This 422-nucleotide ribosomal RNA is filed under the name uncultured bacterium. RNAcentral describes it as "bacterial SSU rRNA". It matches the Rfam family "Bacterial small subunit ribosomal RNA", at positions 40 to 507 of the family's 1533-position model. The record is from RNAcentral.